GAUGAAGAACGUAGCGAAACGGGAUAUGUAAUGUGAAUUGCAGAAUUCAGUGAAUCAUCGAAUCUUUGAACGCACAUGGCGCCUUCCAGUAUCCUGGGAGGCAUGCCUGUCCGAGCGUCGUUUCAACCCUCGAGCCCCCGUGGCCCGGCGUUGGGGAUCUGCCACGGCAGGCCCCUAAAACCAGUGGCGGACCCGAAGGCCCUCUCCUUUGCGCAGUAGCAUCAGCCUCGCAUUGGGAUCCCUCGGCGUCCUGCCUCUAAACCCCCCACAAGUCCGCUCCGGCGGCACCAAGGUUGACCUCGGAUCAGGAAGGAAUACCCGCUGAACUUAAGCAUAUCAAUAAGCGGAGGA
RNAcentral lists this unclassified non-coding RNA (351 nucleotides) under soil metagenome. Its description in RNAcentral is "partial contains 5.8S ribosomal RNA, internal transcribed spacer 2, and large subunit ribosomal RNA". The stretch from base 1 to 120 matches the Rfam family "5.8S ribosomal RNA", at positions 35 to 154 of the family's 154-position model. The record is from RNAcentral.